CUGGCGGCGUGCUUAACACAUGCAAGUCGAACGAUGAACUCCAGCUUGCUGGGGGGAUUAGUGGCGAACGGGUGAGUAACACGUGAGUAACCUGCCCUUGACUCUGGGAUAAGCGUUGGAAACGACGUCUAAUACCGGAUACGACCCGCNAAGGCAUCUNCUGCGGGUGGAAAGAAUUUUGGUCAAGGAUGGACUCGCGGCCUAUCAGGUAGUUGGUGAGGUAAUGGCUCACCAAGCCUACGACGGGUAGCCGGCCUGAGAGGGUGACCGGCCACACUGGGACUGAGACACGGCCCAGACUCCUACGGGAGGCAGCAGUGGGGAAUAUUGCACAAUGGGCGAAAGCCUGAUGCAGCAACGCCGCGUGAGGGACGACGGCCUUCGGGUUGUAAACCUCUUUUAGCAGGGAAGAAGCGAAAGUGACGGUACCUGCAGAAAAAGCACCGGCUAACUACGUGCCAGCAGCCGCGGUAAUACGUAGGGUGCAAGCGUUGUCCGGAAUUAUUGGGCGUAAAGAGCUCGUAGGCGGUUUGUCCCGUCUGCUGUGAAAACUGGAGGGCUCAACCUCCAACCUGCAGUGGGUACGGGCA
This 590-nucleotide ribosomal RNA is filed under the name actinobacterium Muzt-C4. Its description in RNAcentral is "bacterial SSU rRNA". It matches the Rfam family "Bacterial small subunit ribosomal RNA", at positions 36 to 638 of the family's 1533-position model. Lineage: Bacteria; Bacillati; Actinomycetota; Actinomycetes. The record is from RNAcentral.